CUAAACUUUUAACUACAUUUACACAAGGAUCACCAAAAGUAACAGUCGAAACUCCAACACUACAAGUCUUGAACCCAAGGCAAGCAUUUUGUAGGAUCGAAAGUGCAUUAUCACUCUUGCAUUCGCCAUGUCUAAAAUUACCACAUUGCCCUUGAGGUGUUCCAAAGCUAGCAAAACUUUAUAGAAGAGAUGACUUGAUUAGGGAUUUAGGGUGAGGGCAUUCUAAAGAAACUUUGGUUCUUGUUUCCGUUUUCUUGUUGACUUAUCUUGACUCCAUGCUUUAAUGGACGAUGGGUGUGAUUCAGACACAUGUGAGUAGGGUUGUAAACGAACCGAACGAAUAUGAAGUAGAACUUGUUCAUGUCCGUUCAUUUAAGUUAGCCGAACAAACAAAUGAACACGAAUAGAUAAACAAACGAGUUCUCUUGUUCAUGUUCGUUCAUUUAACAAAUUACCUUGUUCGUGUUCGUUCGUUUAUGUUCGUGCACAUGCUAGACGAACAUUAACGAACAAAGAUAAACAAACACGAUUGGACAUAUAUGAACAUAAACACACAUAUAAUAUAUUAAUUAUAAUUGAAUAUAUAUUAACAUAAAUAAAUUUAAACUAACAAUAUAAACAAAUGUUCACAAACAUAAAUGAACAAAAUUGGACAAUUGUUCAUGUUCAUUCGUUUAACUAAAUGAACAAGAAUUUAUGUUCAUGUUCGUUCAUUUAUUUUAAAAAAACAAACAUAAACGAACUUCCCGACGAACGGUUCACAAAUGGUUCGUUGAACGUUCAGUUUGUUUACAAUCUUACAUAUGAACAUAAACUUUGAAACAUUUGUGUUGUGAAAGAUAUUUUUGUAGAGACUCCACCAAUUUCUUCAAACUAACACAAUUAGAUUUCCACUAGGUUGUCACCGUGAUUAAGGUACAUGGUACUUACAAGAUUAUACCAAUUAAAUUGGUGGGUGUUAUAUCACAUAUUACCAUACUUUUCGCAUGUAAUGUCAGUGUCACAUCAUUUACCCUUAACCUACAAAAUUGGUAGGUGUAGUAUCACACCUUACCAUACUUUUCAUUUUCUUUUUUUUAUUAAAUAAAAUUUAUUUUAAUAAAUAUAAUUAUAUAAAAAUAAUAAAAGGAAAGUACUUCAUUAAUUAAAAAAAAUGCAUACUAAAUUAAAAUCAUAAAUAAAAAACAUAAUCGAAAAAUAGUAGAAUAGUAUGUUAUGCCUAAUCAUCGUCGCUCGCAACGUCAUCAUAAUCCUCACCCGAAUCAUCUUCAAACAUGUCUGAUUCGUCAUUUGUAUUGUCGAACAACUUAUAUUCAAAAUCAACAACAAUGGGAUUCAAUUGAGCAUUGAAGAUGUGUUCACUAAAUCAAUGCGGAUAUUGUGGUGUCCAACUCGGUCGUAUAAUUCCCCUAUGCUCGCCAUGUACAUAUGUAACGUACCAAAAAUCCAAGGAAAAACUUUCAUUUUUAAAACAUUAAUUCAUACCACAUUUUGUUCCCAAAAUCAUUCAAGAUGAAAAAUAGUAUUUAAACAUCAGAGUAAAAAUCAUGACUAAUCAAAUGCGGAAUAAACUCUGGGGGAUGUUGUGCAGUCACAUCGGGCCCUUCCCUUUCAUACUGGAAGUACCUGAAACCAUAAACAUGAAACUAUAAGCACAAAGCUUAGUGAGUUCCCCAAAAUACCACAUAUCAUACAUAUCAUGGGGCCAUUUGGCCAAACCCAUAAUAAUGGGCGUAGCCCUUCCUAGUCAACGGGGCCACCCUAACAUAAAAUUGGGCCUAGCCCAUCAUACAAUGGGCACAACCCAACAUACAAUGGGCCCAAACCUCUCAUGCAGUUGUCCCCAGUCCUACAUGCAUGCCAUUGGCCCCAACCCAUCAUACAAUGCAAAAGUCACAAAAACAGCUAGCAUCCUACAUAACGUAUCCUAGUGGUCCGACAUUGGUGCCUUCGACCUACAUGUACAGUGAGGAGACUCACCUCAAAUCCGAGAUAACUGAAACACACACGCGCUGCUGCUACUGGGCUCUUCACACUAAACAUAUCCAAAACCAUCCCUACUAAAAAAUUAGGGUAAUAACCCAAAAUCAAGUUCCAACUCUUAAUCUAUCAUGCUAAGGGUAGAAGACCAUUUUACCCUUCCCAUAUCCGACCCAACAAUCCAUGGCCCAAAACCCAAAGGACCCAAGGCCCAAAAAUGGCCCAUAUUGACUUCUGAUGAGUACACCCCGCGUACCACCCCAAUACGCUCGAUGUACUGCUUAAUCGAAGAGAAAGUAACGCGUUGAAACCCAUUAUCCGCAGCGUACCAGGAGGGUAUGCCCGAUGUACUACCCAACUACCCAAACUCAACUUUAAGCUCUUAAUGCUUAAAGACCAAAACAUCCAAUUCACAUAUCUAACUCUAUGGGGGCAUCUUAAGUCAUAAAUUUCCAACUUUAUGACUUUGCAUGGUUUAAUGGUGUCCAAAACCAAACCCUAACUUCUUACUAACACUUAAUGGCUAAAAAAUCAUGCAUGGUUGUACCACAACCAUCAAGAUCUAACUUUUAUGCUACAUAAACCUUAGAUCAAACAAGAAAUGAGUCAAAUGACACCCUUAAGCUUUGCAAUAGCUUUUACUCAAAAGAACCAAAAUCAUGGGACCAAAAGGUGACAAAUCAUAACCCAAAACUAGAUCUACAUGAAAGAACCAUUAAGGUCGAAACUUUACACCUCCAAAAGAUUGCAAAGUAGAAGAGAGUUAUGGAUCUUCAAGCUCCUAGCUAACCAACACUCAUCUAAUGAGUUCUUCUUCUUCUAAAUGCACCAAAAAGACACCAAAAUCACUCAAAGGCUCAAUAAUCUUUUAAAUGGGGCUAGGGUUUCGAAUUUUGGGUUAGAGAAGAUGAAGGUUGAAGGUAAGAAUGGUUUGCAAUAAGAUAAGGUCUUUAAAUAGGGUCUAAUACCCAAAAAUUAGGGUUUAACCCUGACUGGCGUAUGCCCAACGUACUCCAUGUACGCUCUGUGUACGAGGAAGAAACUUUGCGAUAACUUAAGCCUAGUACGCCCAACAUAAUAGCUUAAACCCAAAACCCUCCUAACUUCUAAUGGUCAUAACUCCCACGUCCCAAUCCGUUUUUGGCAUUCUGUAUAUGCUCGGAAAGGUAAUGAGAAACCUUAUAAUUGUAGCACCUGGUUUUUGGUACAUAUUCUUUGUGAUUAACUCUUUAAAUAUUUUCAUUUGGCCUUGGACUCGGCGAGUUGAUGGGAUAACUCGCCGAGCAGAAGCGGGACAAGACACGGGGUUUAAGCUAUGGACUCGGCGAGUUGGUACUGGUCGGACAAAAACCCUAAUUCGAGGGUUUGCACCCUAUUUAAACACUUUAACUUGGCCUCUUUCGUCCCAUUUACCUCCAGAGAACCUCCAUAGCAUACCCUAGCCGUUGUUGAAGCAAAUUAGAGCAUUUGAAGAGUUUUUGGUGUACUUGUGAUCCAAGGUAGGAAGAGAAGCUUGAAGGAAACGGGAAGGACUGAAGGGGAUCCGAAUUGGUGCAUCAUUUGCAGCUCAUUAAAGGUAAAAAAAAAGUUUGUACCUAGAUCUUCCAAUUGUUAGAUCCCAUUUUGGUGGAGUUUUAGGGCUUUAUGAGCCAUUUUAGCUAGCCAACCAUGAAUGCAAGCAUGGUUGGGGAUGAGGGUGUGGAUCUAGGACCCUUGAAGGGUCACAAAGCAGAAAGGGGGUGCUUUUCCACCAAAGAAAGGCUCCAUGCAACUCAAGGGUUUGUUUUAGGACCUUUUGAGCUUAAAGUCCCAUGCAAGCACGUAAAGGUUGUGACUUUAAGCGCUAUAGAUAUAUCCUUUGAUCAAGAGCUGUGCAUCAGAAAUGGAAGAUCAAGUGAGAAUAUGCGACAGACUCGGCGAGUCCAUCCUUGGACUCGGCGAGUCCAAGCUUAUGUCCCAAAUCAGUUGAGGGUCAAAAGGACCUAGUUGAGUGUGGAAAGGUUUUAGGGAGUCCCGGGGAGUGACCCAACGUUCUGGACUAACCAAUUGUUCGGGAUAUUCAUGGGACUCGGCGAGUGCAUGAGCAGACUCGACGAGUCCAAGGCAAUCUUCAUAUGGAUGAAGAUGAACUCGACGAGUUGUUCAUACAACUUGGUGAGUCAAGGACAGGACCUGUUUAUCAGGUGAAGAUGAACUCGACGAGUUGUUCAUACAACUUGGCGAGUCGGAUGAAGAUUCAGUCGAUGUUCAUUUAGAAGGAAAACUCAUCGAGUCAUUGCCUAACUCGACGAGUAGAGUCGGGGAUAAGGACAAAUAGAGGGAUACGGACUCGGCGAGUUGGCAAGCCAACUUGGCGAGUCAGGUCAACUGGAAGUUGACUUUAACCUUGACUUUGACUUGGUAGGGGUAGGAUGGUCAUUUUACCCUAAGGUCAGUUAGCAGUGUUUGAUUAAGUGUUUUGUUGGAAGUGCAGCCGAGGAUUUCCGGAGCAGUGGCAGCAGAUACACAGUUCCCGCGCAGAUCAGCAGCUACUUCGAGGUGGGUUACCUUCCAGUAGCGGUGGGUCUACGGCCACAAUGUCGGCCCACCAGUAGGAGUUGUAUGUUAGAUGAUUGUCUUUGUGAUAUCAUCUAGGUUUGCUACUACCUGAUAUGUUAUAUGUUGGCAUGAUAUGUUAUAUAUGAUAGUAGUAGAGUUCGGUUGUUAGGACCGAAGGGUAGGUCAGGCACCCCAGAUAUUUCUGAUAGUAUGUGAUGGUAUGUUUGUAUGCUAGCAUGAUAUGUUAUAUGUGAUAGGGGUAGUAGGAGGGGAAUAGUCCCCAAGUUCGGUUGUUAGGACCGACGGGUAGGUCAGCACCCCAGAAUAGCUUGACAUGGGUAGGUCAGCACCCCAGAAUGGCUUGACACGGGUAGGACGGCACCCUAGAAUGGCCGCACGGGUAGUCCGGNNNNNNNNNNNNNNNNNNNNNNNNNNNNNNNNNNNNNNNNNNNNNNNNNNNNNNNNNNNNNNNNNNNNNNNUUGUAUGGUAUGUGGUACGAUGGGGGAACUCACUAAGCUUCGUGCUUACAGUUUUCAGUUUUGGUUUCAGGUACCUCUUCAUCGAAGGGGAAGGAGCUGGCGCGGUAGCGGCACAUCAUACACACACACUGUUUUCCGCUUUACGAACUUGUUUUGGGAUUUGUACUUUGUUAUUGGGUUGUUUUCAUAUUUUGGGUUUCAGACACGAUAUAUGUUAUGAAAUGACUUGAUCAGACAAUGUUUUAUUUAAAAAUGUUUUCCAAAGUAUUGAUUUUAAAAAACGAAAUUUUUGGGCGUGCAAUUUGGGUUGUUACAAGUUGGUAUCAGAGCCCUGGAUUUGAGGGAUUCGGGCACACCUUCGAGGGUGUCUGAACUCAAAUAGAGGAAUGAAAGGAUUUCGAAAAAGAAAAAGUUUUCUAGAAUAUUAAGUAAAGAGUUUUAAGAAAAAACGAAGUGUGUGAUGUGCACGACCGACCGAGCUCAAGUAAGUAUUCCCCAAAGUACCCAUACAAUGUUAUGCAAUGUUUAUCAGUUCAGUAGAACAACAUGCUAGUAUAGGACUAAGGGUCUAGGAGUGAUGCCUUAUGUGCCUGAUUUAUGUGCUUCAGCUUAUAUGAAUUGCAUGCUAGUGUUAAGUAGACAGCAGUAGGAUAGCUUGUUCAGGUUAUGCCUGAUAGUAUGAGCUUAGCAUUGUAUGCUAGUACAAUUUCUUUCUAUGAGAACAGACUUGCUUGAGUAGUUUACCUGCAUCCGAAUGUUGUUUGCCUUGUGCUUUGUGGGACUCUAAGUGAUGGGAGUUAACCAUUAGGUGAAUACGUCACGUCACAUGUGGUCAGGGUUGAAUAAUCUCAGAGUGCUGGAUUUGGCCCUAUCGCGCAGCUCUUGGCUGAGUCUAACCGUUGUAGGGACGAGUCUGUUACUCGAAGGAUUAUCUGAGCCUAAUCACAUGUGAUGGUAUCCAGGUGAUGGCUAAUUGGCAUUACAAGGAGGCCUUCAGCAACUGAGGACCGGUUUGGGUAGGGCCAAAGAUUUUCCCUAGCGUAAGCCUAGGAUGAGGAUAACAGUGAUCAACAGUGGUAAAAAAAGGAUCUGGUGGAGUCAAGCCAGUCCUUGAAGAAGGUACGAAUAUAUGUGGAAGGUAGUAUGGGACCGUACUACCGAAAGCAGAGGAUCCGUACCCGAACUAAGGAAAGCUGAGAUAAGACCAGGGAACUUGUAGUAGAUGUGAUCCCUCAAGAGGUACCAGUAUCACUAAUGGUUGUUAUUAUGUAUAGUAAAAUGGUGGUACAACGUUCGAGGCUAGCAGUUGGCAGCUCAAGAGAGGGAUCAGGUUCGGGAUCAGGUUCCGAGCCAGUAGAUGAGGGGCUACAUGAGUUCAUAGCGUCAGAGAUCACCAGAGGUAUCCUUGAGUCGACCCCACCAUCUUCGGGUCGAUCAAGGAAGGGAUAGUUGAGUUGAUGGAGGAUCGCCUCAGGGCAUUCAGGAGUGACCUGACAUCUGGCCAGUCAUGUUCUCGCACACUGUCCUUCAAGGACUUCAGGGGCAGUGGUGCGCCGGAUUUUCAUGGGGCGAAGGACCCCAUACCUGCCAGACGAUGGAUUGCAGACAUCGAGUCUGCACAGUUGACUAGCUUCUGCCCCGAGGGGUCGAAUGUGACGUUUGCAGCAGGGUGUUUGAGAGACAGAGCUAGAGACUGGUAGGAGUCUGUUGGUGACUCAUUGGGAGCCUCGGCUGUUGAGGCUAUGUCAUGGUCAGACUUCGUGACCAGGUUCCGAGCAGAGUUUGCACCAGCUGUGGAGCUUUAGCAGCUGGCCAGGGAGUUUUUGGAUAUGUGGUAGACCACGGAGACUAUGGCGGAGAUCACCGCCAAGUUCCGGUAGAGGGCGUUGUUGGUGCCCUAGUACGCGAGUGAUGAGGAUAUGAGGAGGACCCGCUAUCAUGACAUGCUACGAGCUGAUAUUCGAGAGCAUGUUAGUUUUUCCACUUGCCCUACUCUGGAGUCCAUGAUUGCCAGGUCCAGGGAAAGGGAGAUCGAUCUGGAGCACAUCCGGAAGAGGAAGACAGAGGAGGGACAGAUGGGAGGGGCUUCGGGGAAGAAGCCCAAGGGAUCAGAUGGUAGGCCGAAAGGCCUGUCGGGACCGGGCCGCUGCAGGAAAUGCGGCAGGCCACAUGAGGGAGCAUGUAGACUGGGAUCGUCGGGCUGCUAUAAGUGCGGCAAGAUGAGGAACUUCAGCAGGGAUUGUACCGCCCCUGCACCUAUGAUACAAACAUCAGAGUUGUUGUGUUUCCAUUGCAACUAGAGGGGCCACAAGAAGGCCAAUUGCCCCCAGUUGACAGUAGCAGCGCCAGUGAAGGCGCCAGCUCUAGCGACCCUGCGGAUUACUGAUGGCCGGCAGGGCAAGGCAGAGGCUCCAGUGGUGAGGAGCCGGGCAUUUCAGCUGACUACCGAGGAGGCACGCAGCGCACCCGAUGUGGUGACGAGUAUGAUUCUUUCCCACUGUUUUAUUUAUAUGAUGUUGAUAUGUGCUCUGUAUAUAUGUGUUUAGGAUCGUUCCAUGUGAUUGGUAUCCUAGUUCAGGUGUUGUUGGACUCGGGUGCCACCCGACCGUUCAUUUCUCUUGCGCUUAGCAAGAAGUUCACUGAGUCUUCGGGCAUGUUGGAUUGCUCUUUAGAGGUAGAGAUUGCCGAUGAUCAAUCAGUGCGAGCAUUAACAGUGUUCAGAGAUUGCGUUCUGAGGUUAUUUGAGGAGCGCUACUUGGUGUAUUUGGUUCCUAUUCCGUUGCGUAGGAACAAGGUGAUUAUAGGCAUGGAUUGGUUAAGCCCUAAUGGGGCGGUGAUAGAUUGCGCACAGCAGCUGGUGCGAAUCAGGACCCCAAAUGGGGGAGAGUUGGUAGUCCAUGGCGAGAGGCCACAACAUGGACCCACAGUAUGUUCGGCGGCGAGAUCUAGGCGCUACCUUCAGUAGGGUUGCAUGGGAUAUGUCACGUAUGUUAUGGAUAUCCGGGAGGCGGGUAAGGCGACGGUGAGCAAGGUCCCGGUGUUGCAGGACUACACAUACAUGUGCCCAGAGGAGCUUCCUUGGAUACCUCCAGAGCAACAGGUGGAGUUCAGGAUCGACCUAGUCCCUGGUGCGGCUCCGAUAGCCAAGGCACAAUAUCGGUUGGCUCCUCCUGAGAUGCAGGAAUUGUCUACACAGCUGCAGGAGCUAUUAGACAAGGGAUUCAUUAGACCGAGCAAUUCACCCUGGGGAGCCCCAAUUCUAUUUGUGAAGAAGAAGAACGGGUCGCAUCGGAUGUGUAUAGAUUACUGGGAGAUGAACAAGGUAACGGUGAAGAACCGUUACCCACUCCCGAGGAUUGAUGACCUAUUUGACCAGCUACAGGGAGCAUCUUGGUUUUCCAAGGUUGAUCUGCGUUCAGGAUAUCAUCAGAUGAUGGUCAGAGAGGAGGAUGUGCAGAAGACUGCGUUUCGGACGCGCUAUGGCCACUACGAAUUUGUGGUGAUGCCCUUCGGGCUCACCAAUGCUCCUGCCGCGUUCAUGGACCUCAUAAACCGCGUGUGUAGACCGAUGUUAGACCGAUCUGUGAUAGUGUUUAUUGAUGAUAUAUUGGUUUAUUCCAAGACGCAGGAGGAGCACCUGCGGGAGGUGCUGGAGACUUUGAGGAAGGAGAACUUGUAUGCUAAGUUCUCCAAGUGUGAGUUCUGGUUGCGCGAGGUGCAGUUCCUCGGACAUCUCGUCAACCAGAACGGGAUCUUAGUGGACCCGACCAAGGUAGAGGCUGUGAUGAGAUGGGAAGUUCCAAAGUCUCCAUCUGAUAUUCGAAGUUUCCUAGGAUUAGCAGGCUAUUAUCGGAGAUUCAUUCGGGAUUUCUGUGACACCCUAAUUUUUUUUUUUUGCAAAAUUUUUUGAACUUUUAGAACCCAUCUUAAAUUAAAUUAAAACAACUGAAAUAGUCAUAACAUAAUUCAUCUACUUAAAAAUCUUAUAAAAUGAGUGCGGAAGUAAUAAUAAUAAUAAGGUCCCAACAAAAAUAACUAGUAGUGAUGUCCCGGUGCUCCAUGUCAAGCCCUAGCCUCUUUAAUCUUAACACCUGAAAAGUUAUAAGGGAAACCAUAAGCACAAAGCUUAGUGAAUUCAAACACAGACAUUGUACUAACAUUCAUAUUUACUAACCCUAAUCCAUUUUCCAAUUAUAGUUUUAUAAUAAGGGCAAAGAACGAAUCAACGCCAAUAAUACAAGAAGGACUUGUAGGUUUGAGCCGCACCAGGAACAUCCCGUAUCACUUGGCCCUAAUCAUCGCACCUCAUGAUGAGUAUUACGUUGGUGAUCUUACCUACCCACCGCACCGGUAAAUCCGUAUCCUUUGGUGGUGUCCCCAUAUCCAUGAUUAGUUACAUACAGUGCACAUGUACGAAUUAAAACAAUACUUAUAUAGCAUGCUUUUAUAAUAAAUUCAAAUAAUCACACACGAGCUAACUAGCAAACACAAUCAUCAAUACAACGGUGUGAGAGAACUCACCUUGAGUGAGUAUUAAGGAUGGAUAACAAUCAAAUAAUGCUACCAAGCUUGAGCAAACUUCAAAACCUCACCUAAGAAGGACUAAAGGUUAGAAAGGAGAAGUAAUGAAGCUAUGAGUUGAGAAAAGAGUAAUCACAGCAAGGUCUCUAAAAUAGACCUACUGUUUAAAAUGGAUUUACUCCAAAAUCUAAAACAGAAACAUAGAUUUAACUAAAUUCUAUAGGAACUAUGAUUGCUCAGGAUUCCACAACUAUAAAGAACUCAUUCUAACUCCAAAAGAUGAAUUAAAUAUGAAUUUUACAAAAUGGUGUAUCACUUCUGUCUCCAACAAUACAGUCAAGUGAUGUUGGCCAAUUCUACCCAACUUGUGAGUAGAAUUCGUCCAAAAGAAAAUUAAGAGAAGUAAAGGACAUACAAGUGAAAGUCUCAGAGUUGGAAUUGAAUGAAAAGCAUCUCUCAAACUCCAGAUAUAAAAUUCACAUUGUGGACAAUCACAGCACUAGCAAAAGCUGGUGACUGCCCACUGAUCUGGAGUGUGGAUCCAUUCUAACCAAUUUAUAAUUGGAAAUAACACCCCAUCUUCUCCAGAUCUUAAAUUCAUGAUAUACGGAACAUAUAGAAACUUGGAAUCACUCUGGAUCCUUUUCCAAGCCUUAGAAAUAAUGAAAACAAAAUGACAUAUCAGAACAGACCCGGAUCAGACCUAACAGCAAAGAUGCCAUUCUUUUCCAUAGAUAAAGUCCUUAUCAGUGAGGUUAGCCUUCUUAAGAACGUUAGCCAACUCAAAUUUUUAACUUUUGGAACUGGUUUGGGGUCGGUUUGAGUUCUAGAUCUCAAGAUAUGAGUUUUACAAAAUGACUACAGAUCUGAUGGAAAAUAGAAUCGUAGCCACCCGUGAUUCCUUUUUGGCUUAUCCAUCCUUCUCCCUUUGAAAUACAUUUUAAGAUGUGUUCAUCAUCCCAAUUUAGUCCCCAUGAUCAUGGUGGUACUAAAAAGGGUUAGGUAUCAUUAGGAUUUCAUUUUGCCACAAGAUUGUAAUAACAAUCAACAUGAAAAUGAACAUAAAGCACAUAAAAUCACCAUUCUCCCUUUUAGGGUUUCCAUGAUCUUUUGCCACAUGUAAUCCCCUAGAUCCAUCAUCCACCAUAUAUGGGGUGAAGAUAGGAUCUUGAGAUGAUGUAUAACAUACAAUUACAAAUCAAAUAAGAAGGAGAAGAAGUGAAGAUGAAAUCAUAAAACUAGAACAAGGUUAUGAAUCAAGUUGUAAGAAAUGAUAAGGAGGUUCAUACCAAUAUGAAUCAAGGCUGGAAAUGAACAAGAAUUAAGCUCCAAACAACAUCCCCUUGGCUGCUCUUGAUCCCAAAGAGAUAGAGGACGAUUUUAGAGAGAGAGAGAGAGAGAGGGUUUAGAGUGUUUUUCUUGUGUGUGUUCCAAAUGACUCAAUUAACACAUUAAGUACUAUUUACUAGAUGGACUUUGCAAAUAGGCCCAUAGUCCAUGGACUUCAAUAAAAGGAGUUUACAAGAUGAUCAAAAGAGUCCAAUAACAUAAGAAAUCAGACAUUGGUUAAAUAAAUUAACCCAAGGUUACAAGGAUAAUUAAAUUAAAAUAACCAAACGUACCGAGAAAACCCGGGGCGUUACAACUCUCCCCCACUAAGAACGGACUUCGUCCUCGAAGUCAACACCUAGAAACAGAUCCGGAUAAUGAGCCCGCAUCUCGCAUUCCGGUUCCCAAGUCCAUUCCGAACCCUUCCUAUGUUGCCACUGCACCUUAACCAGGUUUAUAGUCUUGUUGCGGAGAGCUUUCGUCUUUCGUUCUAAAAUAGCGAUUGGUUUCUCAACAUAAUUGAGACGCUCGUCAAUUUGUAUGUCCUCCAGUGGUAUCACAGCGGUCUCAUCAACAACGCAUUUUCGUAACUGAGACACGUGGAACGUAUUAUGAAUUAGACUAAGCUCGUCAGGAAGCUCUAAACGGUAAGCCACCUUCCCCACACGAGCUAUGACCUUGUAGGGUCCAAUGAAUCGGGGUCCGAGCUUUCCCCGCUUCCGAAAUCGAAUCACACCUUUCCAGGGGGAGACUUUAAGCAACACAUAAUCUCCCACCUGGAACUCAAGAUUGGAGCGUCUUUUGUCGGCAUAACUUUUCUGACGACUGCUCGCUGUGACCAAAUGAUCCCGAAUCACUUGGAUUUUCUCCGUAGUCUGUAGCACGAUAUCGGUACUCCCAAGUACCCUCUGCCCAACCUCGCCCCAACAAACGGGCGUCCUGCACUUCCUCCCGUACAAGGCUUCAUACGGAGGCAUUUUAAUGCUCGAGUGAUAGCUGUUGUUAUAAGAAAACUCAGCUAGAUGUAGAUGGUCAUCCCAACUACCCCCAAAAUCAAUCGCACACGCCCUAAGCAUGUCCUCCAAGGUCUGAAUCGUCCGCUCACUCUGCCCGUCUGUCUGCGGAUGGAAGGCGGUACUAAAAUGUAAUCGUGUGCCCAAUUCCUCUUGAAACUUCCUCCAGAACCGAGAGGUAAAUCGGGUGUCUCGAUCGGAGACGAUAGAAACGGGCACCCCAUGUAAUGAGACAAUCUCCCGAACAAAGAUCUCGGCUAAUUUCUCCGCCGAUGAGCUCUCCUUUAUAGCCAGAAAGUGAGCACUCUUAGUCAAACGAUCAACAAUCACCCAUAUCGUAUCUGAUCCUCGGGCAGUUCUAGGAAGUUUUGUAAUGAAGUCCAUGGUUAGAUGCUCCCAUUUCCAUUCAGGAAUCUCCAAUGGUUGCAACUUCCCAUGCGGUUUCUGGUGUUCCGCCUUGACCUUCCGACAGGUCAUACAUUCUUCCACAAAUCGAGCCACAUCAUUCUUCAUUCCAUGCCACCAGUAAGCCUCAUGAAGGUCCCGAUACAUUUUAGUAGCACCAGGAUGGAUAGAAAAUUUUGACUUAUGAGACUCAUCCAUUAGGGUUUUCCGAUUUCCCCCGGUAUAUGGAACCCAAAUCCUACCGUAGCGAGUCAGCAAACCACGCCCGUCUCGUUCCAUCUUAGGCAACUCUUUCCCAAUCUUCUCACGCCUGAUGUUUUCCUCCAGUAUUGCCGUCUUUUGGGCGUCCCGGAUUAGAUCUAACAAAGACGACACCAUCGUGAUUCGGAGACACUUAGCUCGAAGCGGUUCGGCAGAUUGUUUACGACUGAGAGCAUCAGCUACCACAUUAGCUUUACCGGGGUGGUAGUGAAUUUCACAAUCAUAAUCUUUUACCACAUCCAACCAUUGGAUCUGCCUCAUAUUCAAAUCCCGCUGCUCGAACAAAUAUUUUAGACUCUUAUGGUCAGUGUAUAUGAUAAACUUCACUCCAUAGAGAUAGUGUCUCCAAAUCUUAAGAGCGAAAACAACAGCCCCAAGCUCCAAAUCAUGAGUGGGGUAGUUUCGUUCGUGGGGUUUCAGCUGUCGGGAGGCAUAGGCUAUCACCCUAUCUCGUUGCAUUAACACGGCACCAAGACCUUGAAGCGAUGCAUCACAGUAAACCACCAUAUCCUCAACCCCAUCAGGUAAGGCCAAAAUCGGAGCUUCACACAAUCGUUUCCUUAACUCAUCAAACGCCAGUUGCUGCUCCGGGCCCCAAACGAAUUUCAUUGAUUUCUUGGUCAAUCGGGUGAGUGGUAAGGCGAUUUUAGAGAAAUUUUCAAUGAACCUCCGGUAAUAACCGGCUAAACCCAAGAAACUGCGAAUUUCAGAAGGUGUUUUCGGAAUCUUCCAUUGUUUAACCGCAUCAACCUUGGCUUGAUCGACCUUGAUACCUUGUUUGUUUACCACAUGCCCCAAGAACUGAACUUCUUCCAACCAAAAUUCACAUUUUGAAAAUUUAGCAUAAAGCCUUUCUCUUGCCAGAGUUUCCAGAAUCUCCCGAAGGUGUUGCUGAUGCUCCUCUUUGCUCUUAGAAUAGACUAAGAUAUCAUCUAUGAACACUAUGACCGAACGGUCAAGCAUCAGGCUACACACCCGGUUCAUGAGAUCCAUGAACGCUGCGGGUGCAUUGGUGAGCCCAAAAGGCAUCACUACGAAUUCAAAGUGCCCAUAUCGAGUACGGAAUGCUGUUUUCUCAAUGUCUUCUUCACGAACACGCAUCUGAUGGUAACCGGAACGUAAAUCAAUCUUGGAAAACCAAGAUGCUCCCUGAAGCUGAUCGAAAAGAUCGUCAAUACGUGGCAACGGGUACCUAUUCUUUAUCGUGCGCUUGUUUAGCUCCCUAUAAUCAAUACACAUUCGCUGGGAUCCAUCUUUCUUCUUCACAAAGAGAAUAGGAGCACCCCAAGGCGAGCAGCUUGGCCGUAUAAACCCUUUAUCACUUAGAUCUUGAAGUUGAUCUUGGAGCUCUUUCAUUUCAGGUGGUGCCAAGCGGUAAGGAGAUUUCGCUACCGGAGUCGCACCUGGCACCAAAUCAAUGCGAAACUCCACUUGCCGAACAGGUGGCAAGCCAGGGAGUUCCUCCGGAAAGACAUCGCUGAAGUCAGAAAUGAUAGGAACGUCGUCUAGUGCUAUAGCAGAAGAGCAAGAAGCCAUAGCUAGACUGGGAAUGUCCCCCUGAAUAAUAAGUUCUCUACCUCUAGGGUUUCGAACACGAACUUGCUUCUUACGACAGUGGAUUUCCGCAUCAAACGCAUCUAGCCAAUCCAUGCCUACGAUAACGCAGAGCUCUCGCAUCGCAAUAGGGAUAAGAUCAAUAGGGAAUUCAACUCCAGAAAACUCGAGAGUGCAACCCCGAUAGACAUCGGUGACAUAAAUAGUGCGGUUGUCGGCAACUUCGACAACCAUUGGGCGAGCCAAUUUUCCGAUACUACACCCCAGACGAUUAAUAAACGUGCGAGAUACAAAAGAAUGGGUAGCACCGCUAUCAAACAUAACAACAGCAGGCUCGGAAUCUAGCAAAUAAGUGCCUGAUUUACCACAUACGAUCAUGUAAACAAUUCUAACUACCAUUUAUUAAAUAAUGGCAGGAGAGAGGAGAAAAAAAAAAAAAAGAAAUUUACCUGCCACUGUCGCGGUAAUCACCGGCUCAUCCGCAGUCAUUUGGUGAGCACGACCUCGUGUCACCAUAGUGGGUCCCUUAGAAGACGAUGCAAUUGUAGGAUUUGUACCCCCGCCUCCUUUACCAGCCUUUAACUUCGGGCAUUCGGGCUUCUUGUGUCCCGUCUCGUUGCAGUGAUAGCAAACGGGAGCAACAGAAGUAAUCUGAGGAACUGCACUUGCAGGGGGAGCCCUACAAUUCUUCCAAUGAUGCCCUGGCUUUUUACACUUGUAGCAUAUCAACGGAUUUUUCUCGCAAUGACCUGAAGACGGCCUGUACUCAUACCUUGACUUAUCACCCUACUUUUGCUUUUUCUGGGCAUCUCCGGAUGUCUUGGAGGAGGUGUCAUUGGCCUUCCUCUUGGUCUGGGUCUGCAACUCGAUUUCCCUCCUCCUCGCUGCAUCCAUGAUCGCGGAUAAAGUCGGGAACUCCUGCAUGCUAACGAAUUCCCGAAUCUCGGUACGUAGAAUGGUAGUGUAUUGGCUGACCAACCAGGCCUCAUUCCCAGCAAAUGAGGGACAAAAAGAUAGCAUCUCCAAGAACUUGGCGUUCAAGUCGCUAACAGACUCGGUAGUUUGCUGUAAGGCCAUGAACUCUUGCUGCAUCCGCUGCUGCUCCACCUUGGGCACAUAUUGUGCCUCGAACCUCUCCACAAAUUGGGCCCAAGACAUGGCCCUCACUUCUUCCUCGUUUAAUAGAGCGGUGAUGGUGUUCCACCAUGUCUUUCCCCUUUUUCGCAGCUGAUUCAUGGCGAUCACAACUUUGUACUGGUCCGGACACCCAACAGUCAUGAAGGCGCCCUCAACAUCUGACACCCAAUGCUUAGCAGCAACUGGGUCGGAUUCACCAUUCCAAAGAGGAGGGCUACACUUGUUGAACUUCUCGAAGUAGUAUGCCGAAUCCCGAACGGGCGGAGCCGAUAACGCUCCCCCGGGAAUAGCUGCGAGGCGCUCAUCCAGAAGAGCUUUGACCUGGUUGAUUAUGUCAUUGGUCACGCCCGGGAUUAAUUCAUUGAAAGCGUUAUUGAAUUCCUCAGCGACAAUAUUCCUAACUUGCUCCAUUUGGAGCUGAUUAAGGCGAGCAGGCGGAGCCAUCUGUAUCCGUAGAAGGAGGAAAAUAUUUAGAAAUAAUUCAGCCUAGAUAUUUCUAGGAAGACGAAACACUCAGCUUGCCGAAAAUUUUUCAACCUUGCCCCGUCCCGAAACCGGCACCGAUGUUUCAAAUAGUAGGGGCCCUUCUACUACCUUCCACACAAGUUCCAAUUUCGCAUUCGCGUCUAGUUUCAAAAUUUCCAGCUCGCUCUAGCCGUUAAUUUUACAACUCUCUCACAUGUUAACAUUAAAUAAGUGUGUAAUCUAACAUUUUAAGACUAGUAGAAUCCAAUUCAUAGUCAACAAUUUAACAUAAACAUUUAACAUAAGAAAUAAGGCUUACUUGGCUGGCCGACUGACACACCGCGACAUCUUCCACUACUAGUCUUCAGAAAGUUUGAAAAAUCUUUUAAAAAGAAAAUAAACUCUUAUAGAGCCUCAAAUUUGUGUCUAGAACAUCCACAAGAAUGCCUAGUUCCCUCAAAUUGUGGCUCUGAUACCAACUUGUGACACCCAAAAUUUUCUUUUUUUGCAAAAAUUUUAAACUUUUAAAACCCAUCUUACAUUAAAUUAGAACAACUGAAAUAGUCAUAACAUAAUCCAUCUACUUAACAAUCUUAGAAAAUAAGUGCGGAAGUAAUAAUAAUAAUAAGGUCCCAACAAAAAUAACUAGUAGUGAUGUCCCGGUGCUCCAUGUCAAGCCCUAGCCUCUUUAAUCUUAACACCUGAAAAGUUAUAAGGGAAAAACGUAAGCACGAAGCUUAGUGAAUUCAAACACAGACAUUGUACUAACAUUCAUAUUUACUAGCCCUAAUCCAUUUUCCAAUUAUAAUGAUAAAGGCAAAGAACGAAUCAAUGUCUAUAUUACGAGAAGGACUUGUAGGUUUGAACCGCACCGGGAAGAUCCCGUAUCAUUUGGCCCUAAUCACCGCACCUCACGAAGAGUAUUACGUUGGUGAUCUUACCUACCCACCGCACCGGUAAAUCCGUAUCCUUUGGUGGUGUCCCCAUAUCCAUAAUUAGUUACAUACAGUGCACAUGUACGAAUUAAAACAAUACUUAUAUAGCAUGCUUUUAUAAUAAAUUCAAAUAAUCACACACGAGCUAACUAGCAAACACAAUCAUCAAUACAACGGUGUGAGAGAACUCACCUUGAGUGAGUAGUAAGGAUGGCUAACAAUCAAAUAAUGCUACCAAGCUUGAGCAAACUUCAAAACCUCACCUAAGAAGGACUAAAGGUUAGAAACGAGAAGUAAUGAAGCUAUGAGUUGAGAAAAGAGUAAUCACAGCAAGGUCUCUAAAACAGACCUGCUGUUCAAAACGGAUUUACUCCAAAAUCUAAAACAGAAACAUAGCUUUAACUAAAUUUUAUAGGAAACUAUGAUUGCUCAGGAUUCCACAACUAUAAAGAACUCAUUCUAACUCCAAAAGAUGAAUUAAAUAUGAAUUUUACAAAAUGGUGUAUCACUUCUGUCUCCAACAAUACAGUCAAGUGAUGUUGGCCAAUUCUACCCAACUUGUGAGUAGAAUUCGUCCAAAAGAAAAUUAAGAGAAGUAAAGGACAUACAAGUGAAAGUCUCAGAGUUGGAAUUGAAUGAAAAGCAUCUCUCAAACUCCAGAUAUAAAAUUCACAUUGUGGACAAUCACAGCACUAGCAAAAGCUGGUGACUGCCCACUGACCUGGAGUGUGGAUCCAUUCUAACCAAUUUAUAAUUGGAAAUAACACCCCAUAUUCUCCAGAUCUUAAAUUCAUAAUAUAAGGAACAUAUAGAAACUUGGAAUCACUCUGGAUCCUUUUCCAAGACUUAGAAAUGAUGAAAACAAAAUGACAUAUCAGAACAGACCCGGAUCAGACCUAACAGCAAAGAUGCCAUUCUUUGCCAUAGAUAAAGUCAUUAUCAGUGAGGUUAGCCUUCUUAAGAAAGUUAUCCAACUCAAUUUUUGAACGUUUGGAACUGGUUUGGGGUCGGUUUGAGUUCUAUAUAUCAAGAUAUGAGUUUUACAAAAUGACUACAGAUCUGAUGGAAAACAGAAUCGUAGCCACCCAUGAUUCCUUUUUGGCUUAUCCAUCCUUCUCCUUUUGAAACACAUUUUAAGAUGUGUUCAUCAUCCCAAUUCAGUCCCCAUGAUAAUGGUGGUACUAAAAAGGGUUAGGGAUCAUUAGGAUUUCAUUUAGCCACAAGGAUGUAAUAAUAAUCAACAUGAAAAUAAACAUAAGCACAUAAAAUCAUCAUUCUCCCUUUUAGGGUUUCCAUGAUCUUUUGCCACAUGUAAUCCCCUAGAUCCAUCAUCCACCAUAUAUGGGGUGAAGAUAGGAUCUUGAGAUGAUGUAUAACAUACAAUUACAAAUCAAAUAAGAAGGAGAAGAAGUGAAGAUGAAAUCAUAAAACUAGAACAAGGUUAUGAAUCAAGUUGUAAGAAAUGAUAAGGAGGUUCAUACCAAUAUGAAUCAAGGCUGGAAAUGAACAAGAAUUAAGCUCCAAACAGCAUCCUCUUGGAUGCUCUUUAUCCCAAAGAGAUAGAGGACAAUUUUAGAGAGAGAGGGAGGGUUUAGAGUGUUUUUCUUGUGUGUGUUCCAAAUGACUCAAUUAACACAUUAAGUAUUGUCAACUAGAUGGACUUUGCAAAUAGGCCCAUAGUCCAUGGACUUCAAUAAAAGGAGUUUACAAGAUGAUCAAAAGAGUCCAAUAACAUAAGAAAUCAGACAUUGGUUAAAUAAAUUAACCCAAGGUUACAAGGAUAAUUAAAUUAAAAUAACCAAACGUACCGUGAAAAUCCGGGGCGUUACAAUUUCUCCAAGAUAUUUGUACCCCUGACACGGCUGACGAAGAAAUAUGUGGUCUUUCGAUGGGGGCCUGAGCAGCAGGCAACGUUCGAGACUUUGAAACAUAAAUUAUGCGAGGCGCCAAUCUUAGCCCUGCCAGAGGGCAUGGAGGAUUUUAUGGUGUACUGUGAUGCGUUCAUCUUAGGGUUGGGCGCAGUGCCGAUGCAGAGAGGGCAUGUCAUCGCCUACGCGUCGAGGCAGCCGAAGCCUCACGAGGCGAAUUACUUGACGCAUGAGGGGCUGUUGUGUUCGCCCUCAAGAUUUGGCGUCAUUACCUCUAUGGGGUUCAUUGUACCAUCUACACGGACCAUAAGAGUUUGAGGUACCUCAUGGAUCAGCCGAAUCUGAACAUGAGGCAGCGUCGGUGGUUGGACGUGGUGAAGGAUUAUGACUGUGAGAUCCUUUACCACCCAGGGAAGGCCAAUGUGAUGGCCGAUGAUCUUAUCCGUAAGGCAACACCGAUCAAAGGCGUGUGCAUGAGGAUGACAGUAGUGACUCCGUUGUUAAAGCAAAUUCGGGAGGCUCAGCAGGAGGCUAUGAAGGAGGAACAUCGGAAGAGCGAGCGUAUAGUGGGUCAGGUUUCCUCCUUCGAUUAUGAUAGCCGAGGGUUAUUUACACUACACUGCAGCGUGUGGGUACCAUAUCACGGGGGUGUGUGCCAGGUUCUGAUGGAGGAGGCGCACAAAUCCUGAUUCUCCAUUCAUCACGGGGUGACGAAGAUGUAUAGAGAUCUUCGUCUAGACUAUUGGUGGCCCUGCAUGAAACGGGAUGUAGUUUGGUACGUUGAGCGGUGCUUGACCUGUAGGACGGUCAAGGCCGAACACCAGAGGCCACACGACAAGAUGCAACCGUUGAAUAUUCCGCUGUGGAAAUGGGAAGACAUCACGAUGGAUUUUAUCACCAAGCUUCCCAGUACCGCACGAGGAGUGGAUUCUAUAUGGGUUAACGUGGAUCGGUUGACCAAGAGCGCCCACUUCAUGCCGAUCCAGGAGAGUAUCUCGGCAGAGAAGUUGGCCGAUAUCUACAUUCGAGAGGUGGUGGCGCGACACGGAGUGCCAGUCUCCGUGAUUUCAGACAGGGAUGUACGGUUUACUUCCAGGUUUUGGAAGAAGUUCCAUGACGAGCUUGGCACUCGUCUUCAUUUUAGCACCGCCUUUCACCCGCGGAAAGAUGGUCAGAGUAAGCGGACCAUCCAGACUCUGGAGGAUAUGUUGCGGGCGUGUGUGCUGGACUUUGGUGGUAGCUGGGAUACUUAUCUCCUUUUGGCUAAGUUCUCAUAUAACAACAACUACCAUGUGAGUAUUGACGGUCCUCCCUUUGAGAUGUUAUAUGGGAGGAGGUGCAGGACCCCAAUAUGUUGGGGUGAAGUUGGCCAGAGGGUCAUGGGGAGCACCGAAGUGGUGCUCAAGACGACCAAGAGGAUUCAGCAGGUUCGGAGCAGGCUUCAUACUGCACAGAGUCGGCAGAAAAGUUAUGCCGACAAGCGUUGUUCAGACCUAGAGUUCCAGGUCGGAGAUAUGGUUCUCCUGAAGGUAUCGCCUUGGAAAUGCGUCAUCCGAUUCAGGAAGCGGGGCAAGUUGGGCCCAAGGUACAUUGGACCAUUCAGGGUUGUAGCCCGGGUGGGCAAGGUAGCAUACAGGUUGGAUCUAUCAGCCGAACUCAGUCAGAUCCACAACACUUUCCAUGUUUCGCAACUGCGGAAGUGCCUGGUGGACGACACCGUAGUGGUGCUUUUGGAGGACAUCCAGGUUGAUGGCAGCUUGAAUUACAUUGAGAGGCCAGUGGCAAUCCUCGACCGGAAGUCGAAGGAUUUGAGGAACAAGAGGGUGGAACUCGUGAAGGUGCAAUGGCAGCACCGGAAGGGGUCAGAGUGGACUUGGGAGCCGGUGGAAGAGAUGAUGGAGCACUACCCCGAGCUGUUUUAGGAACGAGCAGCAGACUUCAAGGACGAUGUCUAAAAUAAGUGGGGGAGAUUUGUAGCACCUGGUUUUUGGUACGUAUUCUUUGUGAUUAACUCUUUAAAUAUUUUCAUUUUGGCCUUGGACUCGGCGAGUUGAUGGGCUAACUCGUCGAGUAGAAGCAGGACAAGACGCGAGGUUUAAGCUAUGGACUCGGCGAGUUGGUACUAGUCGGACAAAAACCCUAAUCCGAGGGUUUGCACCCUAUUUAAACACUUUAACUUGGCCUGUUUCAUCCCAUUUACCUCCAGAGAACCUCCAUAGCAAACCUUAGCCGUUGUUGAAGCAAAUUAGAGCAUUUGAAGAGUUUUUGGUGUGCUUGUGAUCCAAGGUAGGAAGAGAAGCUUGAAGGAACAAGGAAGGACUGAUGGGGAUCCGAAUUGGUGCAUCAUUUGCAACUCAUUCAAGGUAAAAAAAAGUCUGUACCCUGAUCUUCCAAUUGUUAGAUCCCAUUUUGGUGGAGUUUUAGGGCUUUAUGAGCCAUUUUAGCUAGCCAACCAUGAAUGCAAGCAUGGUUGGGGAUGAGGGUGUGGAUCUAGGACCCUUAAAGGGUCACAAAGCAGAAAGGGGGUGCUUUUCCACCCAAGAAAGGCUCCAUGCAACUCAAGGGUUUGUUUUAGGACCUUUUGAGCUUAAAGUCCCAUGCAAGCACGUAAAGGUUGUGACUUUACGUGCUAGAAUGGUCCUAGGAGCAUAGAUCUAUCCUUUGAUCAAGAGUUGUGCAUCAGAAAUCGAAGAUCUAGUGAGAAUNGGACUCGACGAGUCCAAGGCUUUGAGUCCCAUAUCAGUUGAGGGUCAAAAGGACCCAGUUGAGUGUGGAAAGGUUUUAGGGAGUCCCGGGGAGUGACCCAACGUUCUGGACUAAGCCAUUGUUCGGGAUAUUCAUGGUACUCGACAAUUGCAUGAGCAGACUCAGCGAGUCCAAGGCAAUCUUCAUAUGGAUGAAGAUGAACUCGACGAGUUGUUCAUACGACUCGGCGAGUCAAGGACAGGACAUGUUUAUCAGAUGAAGAUGAACUCGACGAGUUGUUCAUACAACUCGACGAGUCGGAUGAAGAUUCAGUCGAUGUUCAUUUAGAAGGAAAACUCGUCGAUUCAUUGCCUAACUCGACGAGUAGAGUCAGGGAUAUGGAUAAAUGGAGGGAUAGGGAUUCGGCGAGUUGGCAAGCCAACUCGGCGAGUCAGGUCAACUGGAAGUUGAGUUUGACCUUGACAUUGACUUGGUAGGGGUAGGAUGGUCAUUUUACCCUAAGGUCAGUUAGCAGUGUUUGAUUAAGUGUUUUGUGGGAAAUGCAGCCGGAGGAUUUCCGGAGCAGCGGCAGCAGAUACACAGUUCCCGCACAGAUCAGCAGCUACUUCGAGGUGANNNNNNNNNNNNNNNNNNNNNNNNNNNNNNNNNNNNNNNNNNNNNNNNNNNNNNNNNNNNNNNNNNNNNNNNNNNNNNNNNNNNNNNNNNNNNNNNNNNNNNNNNNNNNNNNNNNNNNNNNNNNNNNNNNNNNNNNNNNNNNNNNNNNNNNNNNNNNNNNNNNNNNNNNNNNNNNNNNNNNNNNNNNNNNNNNNNNNNNNNNNNNNNNNNNNNNNNNNNNNNNNNNNNNNNNNNNNNNNNNNNNNNNNNNNNNNNNNNNNNNNNNNNNNNNNNNNNNNNNNNNNNNNNNNNNNNNNNNNNNNNNNNNNNNNNNNNNNNNNNNNNNNNNNNNNNNNNNNNNNNNNNNNNNNNNNNNNNNNNNNNNNNNNNNNNNNNNNNNNNNNNNNNNNNNNNNNNNNNNNNNNNNNNNNNNNNNNNNNNNNNNNNNNNNNNNNNNNNNNNNNNNNNNNNNNNNNGGGGGAACUCACUAAGCUUCGUGGUUACAGUUUUCAGUUUUGGUUUCAGGUACCACUUCAUCAAAGGAGAAGGAGCUGGCGCGAUAGCGGCACAUUACACACAAACACUGUUUUCCGCUUUACGAACUUGUUCUAGGAUUUGUACUAUGAUAUUGGGUUGUUUUCAUAUUUUGGUUUUCAGACACGAUGUAUGUUAUGAAAUGGCUUGAUCAGACAAUGUUUUAUUUACAAAUGUUUUCCAAAGUAUUGAUUUUAAAAAACGAAAUUUUUGGGCGUGAAAUUUGGGUCAUUACAAUAAUCCUAUAAAGUCUCUUUGACUCAAAACCUUCUGAGCUAGAAUCCUUGAUUCGAUAAAAGGCCCGCACCAUCACUUUUACCAUUAUACCCUUAGGCUUUAAAGUACAAAUCAAAAGAUCAACUCGCACAACCUAUAUNNNNNNNNNNNNNNNNNNNNNNNNNNNNNNNNNNNNNNNNNNNNNNNNNNNNNNNNNNNNNNNNNNNNNNNNNNNNNNNNNNNNNNNNNNNNNNNNNNNNNNNNNNNNNNNNNNNNNNNNNNNNNNNNNNNNNNNNNNNNNNNNNNNNNNNNNNNNNNNNNNNNNNNNNNNNNNNNNNNNNNNNNNNNNNNNNNNNNNNNNNNNNNNNNNNNNNNNNNNNNNNNNNNNNNNNNNNNNNNNNNNNNNNNNNNNAAAAAUAAUUUAUGACCGUUUCAAAAAAAUUACCUAAAAAAAUUAAUAUUUCCUUUUAUUCUAAAUCUGAAAAGAAAAUCUUAAAAAAAUUAUUAUUUUCUACUAUUUCACGUUUUUGUUUUUAAAAAAUAAAAUGAAUACAAAUCCAAUCCCAAAUCAAUACACUUCCAAUCAUAAAUGAAAACACAUCAAAUUACAAAUAAUUCAAUGCAUUUUCAUCAAUCGAAAAUAAAAAUAGUGUAAAAAUUAUCAUUUUUUCAUAAAAUGAAGACCUCUAAUCAUAAAUAAAUACAUUCACUCACAUGAAUACACUACUAUUCAUAAAUAAAUACAAUAAUUCACACAUAAAUACAUUGCAAUUCACAAAUGAAUACACUGUUAUUUAUAAAUUAAUACACAUUCUAUCAUAUAUUGAAUACAUCUAAUCAUAAAUAAAUACACUCAUUCACAUGAAUACACUACUAUUAAUAAAUAAAUAAAUACAAUCAUUCACACAUAACUACACUGUUAUUCAUAAUGAAUGCACGUGCUAUUCAUAAAUAAAUUCAACCAUUCACGCACCCCCCUUCAUGAUCCAUUUUUUUAUUGUCGAUUGACUACAACGACAUCAAGAGUGAAUCGGUACUGUUGAGUUCAUCGUAGCCCAAGGUGGAUUGAAGGUUUCCUUCCCAUCACUCCCUUUACUGUCGCUGCCGUAUUCAUAAAUCUUUCCAUUGGAUCACUGGAUAAACAAUGGAGGUAGAAGGACUGCCACCACCAUCCUUGGACUGUCACCACCACAAACAUCUCUAUCCUUCUCUUUUCCAUCGAACAAGUAGGCUAAACACCGCCGUUCUUCAUCUUCUUCCUAUUUAUUUCAAGCAACAAAACACCACCAAAAUCUAUUGAUUAAACUCAUCAAUUUCUGUUAAAAAUCAAACCCAAAAACCCACCUCAAACUCCACAAAUUUCAGUCAAAACAGAACAAAGAAAGGGAAUCAAACAAACACCCACUUGAGCUUACCGAGUUCUGCCAAAUCAAACAAGAAGAAAAAAGAAGGAACCCUUACCCGUUGUUGAAUCGUUGAUGCCUUUCUCGAUCACUAAACAACCCAAUGUCGAGGCUUUGUCACCGGAAACCAAUGGCAAACCCCACAUCCCGCUGCUUCCAUUCUCUUUUCUUCUUCUCUUCGAUCUAGCCAAGCACCAAAGGUGCCCCAUCUUCAACCCCUGAUCGCAUUGUUGCAUCCACCGAGACCGACGACCCACCCCUCGCUGCCUCCUCCUUUCCUCAUCUUUAGCCUCGUCGAACCUGGAGACGCUCCCCUUGCCAUCACGACGGCCGACCAUAGACGUUGCCGACUGCCUUCACUUCCUUCCUACGUCUUUCAUCGACCUUGCUGCUUUCAAUUCUUUGUUUUCCCCAGUCCCGUCAAGUGACGCCUUGGAGGGUUUUGGUGAUGGCAAAGUCCGAUGAUGAUAUUAGGUUAACGAAAUAAAGAGGCAAAGAGUAAUUAUAGGAGUUUACAAAAUUAGGGUAAUGUCUAUUUACUUUAAUACCCUUUAUAAUUUUUUUUUAAUUUAAAAAUUAAAUUUUAAAUGUAUUAAUAAUAAAAUAACAAUUAAUUAUAGCUACACAUCUUAAUAAUUAGAUGGUCCAGAUCUGUUCUCGCGUUCUCAACCUUUUAGAUGUUCUCAUUUGAUCCUACUCCUAUAUAUAUAUAUAUAUAUAUAUAUAUAGAUAUAUAUAUAUAUNAAUUAAUUAAUUAACUCCUAAAUGGGCCUAGAACCCAACCCUUUGAAGUCCAGGGCCUAACUUAAUCCAUUAAUGUCCAUAAUUCUCGAAAUUAGAAGCUUCUUGAAACCAAAUGUUACAACUCUCCCCCACUUAAACUAGAUUUCGUCCUUGAAAUCACUCCUUGCUACUUACUAGACACCUAGUCAUAUGUGUGACCGUAGGAUCUUAUUCAUGUUAUUGACCGGAGGGUCUUAUUCGUAUUAUUAACCAGAUGGUCUUAUUUGCUUAUAUUGAGAUAUGUGUUAUUAUGCAUUCUGUCUUUGUGACUUAUGUUGUUUAUAUUAUUCAGUGUACAAUAUGAGUUAUGGCCAGAUGGUCCAUACCGAGACGUGAGACCGGAGGGUCUUCACCGAGAUACGUGACCGAAGGGUCCUUAUCGAGAUAUAGCCAUGAGAGGCUAAUUAUUUGUGUAUGUGGUAUUUUGGGGAACUCACUAAGCUUCGUGUUUACAAUGUUGAUUUAAAUGUGUUUCAGAUACUUUUGUAGAUUCCGAAAAGGUGAAGACAUGAUUGUACACAUUCGUCGGCUUAUAAUGUCUUGUGGAUUUUGGGAUACUCUAUCACUCUGAUAUGUUUUGAUAAUUAUUAAAAUUCUGUGAUGACUUGGUUUUAUGAAUAAUGUUUGGUGAAUUCAAAAUGAAAAAAAAUUUGUUUGAAAUUUAAGGUGUUACAAACAAAAUGAUGUAUAUGAAUUGAUAGUAAAACCCUAAGCCUAUAUAAAGAGAAAAUCAAUCUUUAAAUUCUUGGCCGAAAUACGAACCAUAAUGAAAGAUAUAUCCGCGUGUACGCAAUGUCGGUCCGAAAUGUACAUUUUACUCCUACAUAUCAUAUUUUGAAUGACUUUGUCAUAUCCGAACAGUUUUCUAACAACAAUGUUUCAGACUUCGUAAUCAUUUUUUAUGAAUUAAAAAGUAGGUCAUUUCGUGUGAUUACUUCAUUCCUAAUGAUUGUAAAUAUCCCUUUGUAUUUUGUUUAUUAGGUAAUAUGUAAUAAUAAUAUCUUAUUAUUUUAUUUAUUCAGGAAGGUAAUUAAAAGAGCAACUAUAUUUUAAAACCUAGAUUCCUAACGAACUGCCCAAAAGAAGUGCAUGAAUGCAUGGUUAAGCAAAACUCCUUACUCCUUAGAUGCCAACCGAUGUGAACCCACUCAAAUAUGCUUUUAUUUUCAUUUACGUUAUGUAGUUCAUAUAUAAUACUAUCAACAUAUUUUUUUGGGUUGUUUGCGGAGAAUCAUAGUCAAUAAACUACCUUUUUAAAAACCACUUAGAUUAGUUUUUCAAAAUCUUUUUAAUUUUUUUUUCAAAAUUAACACUUACGUAAUUUUAGAAAAAUAUAUUCUUCUAAAUAUGUUUUUAUGUUAUUUUAUAUCUUCAACUAAAACGUCAUUUUGCUUUUCAAUAUUCAACAAGUUUUUCAUAUAACAUCAAUUUCAGCUAGCAAAGUACAAACAAACAUAGACUUUAUCAAUUUAUGCAACAAUUUUGUAAUCACAUAAUGAAUUGAUGAAGAAAAAUGGAAGUAUCUAGUAUUUAUUUAAUUAACCCUAAAUUAAGAAACUUGGAUUUUUUUAUCCGAAAUAAAAAUAAAAAUGAUUCCUUUGUGUAUAUAUCAAAAAGUCAUUCGAGAUAUGAAUAGAAAGUAACCAAAAAGUCAAAAGGUUUCUUCGACAAUGAAAGCAUCUCGUCGUCCUCAUGGCUGUAAGUUUCUUUUCGGAGCGAAGAAAAUCCAGUUGACAUGAAUUGGUGCGAACUCCAUGGCUAUGGCUUCACGACUGCUUUAUCUGCCUAUAAAAAUGGCUUCCCUUCCUCUUCCCCAAACCAUCUCAAUCACCAUCAUUUCAGUCUUCAAAGAAAGAUAACACCACAAAAACUAGAAAGGAAAAACAUAGAGAGGUUUGAAUAUGGGGAAGGCGCUAAUUCUGGUGGCUUUCCUACUCGUCUCCAUCGGAGCUACCACGGUUCGAGCUGAUGACUACAACAAGCCUGAAGACAAUAAGACUCCGGCACCGGUACCCGCCCCUAAAGACCAGAAACCAGCGGCAGCCCCGGUCCCUACGGAGGAGAAAUCAAAGCCAGAACCGCCGAAGGAGGACGAGAAACCAAAACCAGCACCGGCUCCGAAGGAGGAGAAACCAAAGCCUUCUCCUGUCGACGACGAUACCACGAACUACGACGACGAGACACCAGACCCAAAAACAGGAUGCGAACGGGCUAAGUGUAAAUCGAAAGGAGCUUGUAAUAAGAAGACACUAACCUGUCCGGCCGAGUGCCCGGAGAGGAAGCCCAAGAAGAACAAGAAGAACAAAGGUUGCUUCAUCCAUUGUGGUAGCAAGUGUGAAGCUACUUGCAAAUGUAUGUACUCCACCUGUUCGAUAAAAUGUUUCUUUGAAUUCCUAAUCAUCUACACUCUUCUUCCUAACUAAUUUGCAAUUGAAUGACAGGGAGGAGGCCACAAUGUAACGGAUAUGGCUCUCUAUGCUACGAUCCAAGGUUCGUCGGAGGUGACGGAGUGAUGUUCUACUUCCAUGGCGGAAAAGGACGUGAUUUCGCUCUUGUCUCCGACACCAACCUCCAAAUCAACGCCCACUUCAUCGGAAACCGCCCAAAUGGCCGGAAACGUGACUACACAUGGGUCCAGUCCAUCUCCAUCAUGUUCGACACCGACACCCUCGUCCUCUCAGCUAAGAAAGUACAACAAUGGGACGACUCCGUCGACGUACUUCUCGUAAAAUUCAACGGUCAACAAGUCAACAUCCCCUUCACCGGAGACGCAGAAUGGAAAACCAACACCGGAGUAAGAGGAGUGGCGGUGGAAAGAACCGACGACACCAACACUGUUAGAGUUACAGUCGGCGGGCUGGUUGAAAUCGACAUGAAAGCUGUUCCGGUGACCAAAGAAGACGAAAAAGCUCACAACUACCAGUUACCAUCAAAUGACACUUUUGCCCAUUUCGAGACACAGUUCCGAUUCUCAAAUCUCUCAGACAACGUCGAGGGCAUUUUGGGAAAAACCUACAGACCAGGGUAUGUUAGCCCAGUGAAGAGAGGGAUCGCGAUGCCAUUAAUGGGUGGAGAAGACAAAUACGAAACUCCGUCUUUAACUUCACCUCGUUGCAAACUCUGCAUGUUUCAGUCAAAUUACGAAUCUGCCCCUCCCGCAACCGGAAUAUCUCAAUACUAAUCAAUUAUCGUAAUUCCUUGUAAUAUAUCAAUAAUGGUCAUAAAUUAAGGCUCUCGACUCCUUGAAUUUUAUUAUAAUACAAAAUAAAAACGGUUUUAUUCUAUGAUUUAUAAUUUUAUAAUUAUAAUUAUAUUCGUGUUUUUCAUUCACACGAUGCUUCUACAGCUAAACUUUUAACUACAUUUACACAAGGAUCACCAAAAGUAACAGUCGAAACUCCAACACUACAAGUCUUGAACCCAAGGCAAGCAUUUUGUAGGAUCGAAAGUGCAUUAUCACUCUUGCAUUCGCCAUGUCUAAAAUUACCACAUUGCCC
This 28219-nucleotide long non-coding RNA is filed under the name Lactuca sativa (garden lettuce). Its description in RNAcentral is "long non-coding RNA (LSAT_LNC006441)". Lineage: Eukaryota; Viridiplantae; Streptophyta; Magnoliopsida; Asterales; Asteraceae. The record is from RNAcentral.